Danionella cerebrum is the source of this 70-nucleotide non-coding RNA. The record is from the annotation of a GenBank genome assembly. NCBI's taxonomy places the organism in Eukaryota, Metazoa, Chordata, Actinopteri, Cypriniformes, Danionidae.
CUUUCUGUGGUUCAGUCAGUACAGCAUUGGGCUAGCAACGCAAAGGUCAAGGGUUCUAACCCCAGGAAAA